RNAcentral lists this ribosomal RNA (254 nucleotides) under uncultured bacterium. RNAcentral describes it as "partial 16S ribosomal RNA". It matches the Rfam family "Bacterial small subunit ribosomal RNA", at positions 524 to 776 of the family's 1533-position model. The record is from RNAcentral.
GACGUAGGGGGCAAGCGUUGUCCGGAUUUAUUGGGCGUAAAGAGCUCGUAGGUGGUUCGGUAAGUCGGAUGUGAAAUCUCCAGGCUCAACCUGGAGGGGUCAUUCGAUACUGCCGUGACUAGAGGUCGGUAGGGGAGUGUGGAAUUCCUGGUGGAGCGGUGAAAUGCGCAGAUAUCAGGAGGAACACCCGUAGCGAAGGCGGCACUCUGGGCCGAUACUGACACUGAGGAGCGAAAGCGUGGGGAGCGAACAGG